UUUGCCUGUUGGGGCUCGGGGGCAGUAUUGAGACAUUUUGAAAAAAAUAUGUGCCCAUUUUUAACUGCCUCCUACACCAACUCAGAAGCUAGGAUAUGCAUAUUAUUAACACAUUCGGAUAGAAAACACUCUGAAUUUUCUAAAACAGUUUGAAUGGUGUCUGUAAGUAUAACAAAACUCAUAUUGCAGGCAAAAACCUGUGAAAAAUAGAUCAAAAAAAAUGUGAAUUUUGUGACUGUAAUAUUUAGUGUCAUUGUUUUAUAGAUACCAUAGUGAGAAAGGAUUCAUUUCGCAACACCUACGGCUUCCACUAGAUGUCAACGAUCUUUAUAAAGUUGUUUGAAGCGUCUAUGAUAAACAGAGAGCAAAUUAGAAUCCAAGGAAGUUGACAUGUCAUCACUUCAUUUUUUUGCGCCUGCGCAUAAAUCUGAGAAACGUGAGUUUUGUCUUCAUUGUUUAUCUCGACAUAGGAUAGGUUGUGUGAAAAUAUUACUGAUGUUUAACGUUAAAAAUGGACCAAAAGAUUAAUGCUAAACAACAUUUGACAUGUUUGAACGAACAUAAAUAGAUUAUUUACUAGUUUUUUUUAGCUUUUCGGCGUGAUUUUACAGUCCCCCACCACGUUUUGUGGGAGCAUAAUGAACGCUAAGUACUUGGUGUUAUUUGGACAUAAAUUAUGAACUUUGUCAAAAGAAACCACAUUUGUUCCGGACCUGGGAUGCCUUCCGGACCUGGGAUGCCUGUCUUCUGAUGGAGAUAAUCAAAGGUCUCUUAAGGUGUUGCUAUCUAAGGUGAACACCUCAAAGAAGCUGAAUAAUUUCCAUUGACGUCACGUUAUUGUGAAACCUGUUUACGUCGAUGCUAGACCCUCCCCUUCAUGUCACACAAAAAGGUUUUCAGGGAAAAGGACCACAGGCUGAAAACGUUCCACUCGAUCGAACCAAUCGCUGCUCGUAUGUCCUUUCAUGGUAAAGUACAUCUAGUCAUGAACACAGAAAUACGCAGCAAAGACCUUUUUACUCAAAGACCCAGCUACUCUCUGACAGUCACCAUCAGACCAUCAGACCACCAGAUGGACAGGCUGUGUGUCACUCUGAUUGCAUUCUUAUGUGCUGUUUCCUCCAGUCAGGAUGGGAUCUCUGCAGCAGAGGUGGAGAUGAGAGUCAGACCAGGAGACAACAUCACUCUCUACUGUGACUGUAACAUAACUUCUGGAAUAUACAUUAUGUGGUAUAGGAACUGUUCUCACAAGUACCAGCCUCCUCUUGUUAUUUUAACUACGUUUUUAAGUUCCAUCUCUCUCCCUGGAUUUAAUGUGUUAUGGAACCCCUCUAACAACUCCUAUGAUCUACUGAUUGAGAACAUCACUGAAUCUGACCUGGGACUCUACUACUGUGGGACUGUGGAGUACAAGGUGGAAGAAGGAAAACGAAUGAAAUAUAAAGAGUUGUUCCACUAUGGAAACAUCACCACUCGGAUUUCACUUGAAACCAGUCCUCCUGCCAGUCUAUUGCCAGAAACCAGUCCUCCUGACUGUCUAUUGCCAGAAAUCAGUCCUCCUGAGCCAUCCUCCUCCUCCCCUCCUCCUGUAGACUGUGGUCUGUGUUGGAUGUUGCUGUUCAGUCUGUGUCCUGUAUCUGCUCUCCUCUACUCCGCCUGUGUUUACUCCUUUUACAGAACAACAGCUCCAACUGAGACUCAGGUUCCUCUGAACAAGACCACCACCAGGGGAAUUGACAGCAGAGAGCAGACUACUGUCAAAUACAUACACAUCUAUCAAUACCAGCAGAGUGUGAGACCUAUACCAUCCAUCAAUACCAGCAGAGUGUGACCAAUACCAUCCAUCAAUACCAGCAGAGUGAGACCUAUACCAUCCAUCAAUACCAGCAGAGUGUGACCAAUACCAUCCAUCAAUACCAGCAGAGUGAGACCUAUACCAGCCAUCAAUACCAGCAGAGUGAGACCAAUACCAUCCAUCAAUACCAGCAGAGUGUGAGACCUAUACCAUCCAUCAAUACCAGCAGAGUGAGACCUAUACCAUCCAUCAAUACCAGCAGUGUGAGUCCUAUACCAUCCAUCAAUACCAGCAGAGUGUGAGACCUAUACCAUCCAUCAAUACCAGCAGAGUGUGAGACCUAUACCAUCCAUCAAUACCAGCAGAGUGUGAGACCUAUACCAAUGUAGCUGGGAGGAAAUUAUUUUUAAGAGUUACUUAUUUUUUUUUUUACCUUUUCAUACAAGUGAUUUAUUUGUACACUUUUGGCUGUAACCUUUUAAUAAUAAUAACAAUAGUGAUUUAGAAAAUGUGGUUAAGAUCAGGGAAUAAUGGUUAAAUAGCUGUUGUUACAGUCUUAGUUUGUAAUUCUAGGUGUUAAAGUUCAUUGUUUUCCAUUUGUAAGUGUAUUGAUAUGUGUUAAUGUAGCUGAAUAAAUAUUGAUUCAGUUUAAUUACAUUUUAUUUAGUUAUUUAUUUGUCUCCCCUUAACUUCUCUUAGAGCGCGAGGUCAUUAUAUUUGGUUUGACAAACGCUCCAGCAAACCAAUCAGAGCUAUUUGAGGGUGUGGCUUAGAUGUGAAGGGUUGAGACUUUGGUGAAGAAGGUGUGGCUUAGAAAUAAAGAGGGUGUGGCUUUAGAGGAUGACAGAGAUGCAUGUAAAGAGCAUGGAGGUUAAGGGGUGUGAUUUAUAUGUUAAGAGGUGUGAUUUAUAUAUUAAGGGGUGUGAUUUAUAUGUUAAGGGGUGUGAUUUAUAUGUUAAGGGGUGUGAUUUAUAUGUUAAGGGGUGUGAUUUAUAUGUUAAGAGGUGUGAUUUAAAUGUUAAGGGGUGUGGUUUAUAUGUUAAGGUGUUAUUUAAAUGUUAAGGGGUGUGGUUUAUAUGUUAAGGGGGGGAAUUUAUAUGUUAAGAGGUGUGAUUUGAAUGUUACGGUGUGUGAUUUAUAUGUUAAUGUGUGUGGUUUAUAUGUUAAAGUGUGAUUUAAAUGUUAAGGGGUGUGGUUUAUAUGUUAAGGUGUGAUUUAAAUGUUAAGGGGGGUGGUUUAUAUGUUAAGGGGUGUAAUUUAUAUGUUAAGAGGUGUGAUUUAAAUGUUAAGAUGUGUGGUUUUAGUGGAAUACAGAGUUGUUGAGUAGAACCAGAGUAGUUUCUAUGGUUUCAUAAACAUGAAGCCCAGGGCUCUUUAACCCUGUUCCUGGAAAACUACCAUCCUGUAGGUUUUCACUCCAACCCUAAUCUAGCACAAUAAUAUUUAGCUCGUUGAUGAACUGAUUCGGGUUAGUUACAACUGGGGUUGGAUAUCCCUGACCCUGUAUAUGGUUGAACAUUUUAAGUUUUAAAUGAAGCUCCGUGAAGCUUUCAGUGAAAGCACAUUAUCAAUAGAGUUACAUAGUGAAACCAGGUUAAUUAUACUACAUUAUCAAUGGAGUUACAUAGUGAAAUCAGGUGAAUUAUACCACAUCAUUAGAGUAACAUAGUGAAAUCAGGUUAAUUAUACCACAUUAUCAAUAGAGUUACAUAAUGUAAUCAGGUUAAUUAUACUACAUUAUCGAUAGAGUUACAUAGUAACAUCAGGUUCAUUGUAUCACAUUAUCGAUAGAGUUACAUAGUAACAUCAGGUUCAUUGUAUCACAUUAUCAAUGGAGUUACAUAGUGAAAUCAGGUUAAUUAUACCACAUUAUCAAUAGAGUUACAUAGUGAAAUCAGGUUAAUUAUACCACAUUAUCAACAGAGUUACAUAGUGAAAUCAGGUUAAUUAUACCACAAAACAGUAGUCUCUGAAAAAGCAUGAUUUAAUUCCAGAAGAUAACCAUUACAUGUAUUUUCACCAAAUACUAAUCAUACAUGAAAAGUAGAUAAUUUCAUCUGAAUGAAGAGCAGAUACAACAGAAAGUGCAUGUUCAAUCUAUUAAAAGUAGAAAAUAAAUGUAAAAACUUUGAAUGUAACCAAAUUAAAGCCUUUUGGUGACACUUCCUUAGUGGUUGGCAUUUUCUGAUCAAUAUCUGCAUUUUUCCCAGAUCAGAUUACCACAGUAGA
Molecule: long non-coding RNA, 4024 nt
Filed under: Salmo salar (Atlantic salmon)
Lineage: Eukaryota; Metazoa; Chordata; Actinopteri; Salmoniformes; Salmonidae
Description: lncRNA (ENSSSAG00000102838.1)
Source: RNAcentral